This 408-nucleotide ribosomal RNA is filed under the name uncultured bacterium. RNAcentral describes it as "bacterial SSU rRNA". It matches the Rfam family "Bacterial small subunit ribosomal RNA", at positions 434 to 836 of the family's 1533-position model. The record is from RNAcentral.
UGUCAGGGAAGAAACGGUCUGGGCAAAUACCCUGGGCUAAUGACGGUACCUGAAGAAUAAGCACCGGCUAACUACGUGCCAGCAGCCGCGGUAAUACGUAGGGUGCAAGCGUUAAUCGGAAUUACUGGGCGUAAAGCGUGCGCAGGCGGCCAUGCAAGACAGAUGUGAAAUCCCCGGGCUCAACCUGGGAACUGCAUUUGUGACUGCAUGGCUCGAGUACGGCAGAGGGGGAUGGAAUUCCGCGUGUAGCAGUGAAAUGCGUAGAUAUGCGGAGGAACACCGAUGGCGAAGGCAAUCCCCUGGGCCUGUACUGACGCUCAUGCACGAAAGCGUGUGGGAGCAAACAGGAUUAAUACCCCUGGUAGUCCACGCCCUAAACGAUGUCAACUGGGUUGUUGGGAGGGUUUC